Molecule: ribosomal RNA, 823 nt
Filed under: uncultured Acidobacteriaceae bacterium
Lineage: Bacteria; Pseudomonadati; Acidobacteriota; Terriglobia; Terriglobales; Acidobacteriaceae
Description: bacterial SSU rRNA
Rfam family: Bacterial small subunit ribosomal RNA
Source: RNAcentral
CAAGUCGCACGAGAAAGUGGAGCAAUCCAUGAGUACAGUGGCGCACGGGUGAGUAACACGUGACUAACCUACCCUCGAGUGGGGAAUAACCUAGGGAAACCUGGGCUAAUACCGCAUAACACUUACGAGUCAAAGCAGCAAUGCGCUUGGGGAGGGGGUCGCGGCAGAUUAGCUAGUUGGUGGGGUAAUGGCCUACCAAGGCGAUGAUCUGUAUCCGGCCUGAGAGGGCGCACGGACACACUGGAACUGAAACACGGUCCAGACUCCUACGGGAGGCAGCAGUGGGGAAUUUUGCGCAAUGGGGGAAACCCUGACGCAGCAACGCCGCGUGGAGGAUGAAAUCCCUUGGGAUGUAAACUCCUUUCGAUCGGGACGAUUAUGACGGUACCGGAAGAAGAAGCCCCGGCUAACUUCGUGCCAGCAGCCGCGGUAAUACGAGGGGGGCAAGCGUUGUUCGGAAUUAUUGGGCGUAAAGGGUGCGUAGGCGGUUUGAUAAGUCAUCUGUGAAAUCUAUGGGCUCAACCCAUAGUCUGCAGGCGAAACUGUCGGGCUUGAGUAUGGGAGAGGUGAGUGGAAUUUCCGGUGUAGCGGUGAAAUGCGUAGAUAUCGGAAGGAACACCUGUGGCGAAAGCGGCUCACUGGACCAUUACUGACGCUGAUGCACGAAAGCUAGGGGAGCAAACAGGAUUAGAUACCCUGGUAGUCCUAGCCCUAAACGAUGAUUGCUUGAUGUGGAGGGUACCCAAUCCUUCCGUGUCGAAGCUAACGCGAUAAGCAAUCCGCCUGGGGAGUACGGUCGCAAGGCUUGAAACUCAAAGGAAUU